Long non-coding RNA from Pristis pectinata (smalltooth sawfish), 340 nucleotides. RefSeq lists it as uncharacterized. The transcript has 4 exons. NCBI's taxonomy places the organism in Eukaryota, Metazoa, Chordata, Chondrichthyes, Rhinopristiformes, Pristidae. The record is from RefSeq and is a predicted model, not a curated record.
CUUGCGUCUGCGCCGCGCUAUAUAAGCAGGGUCCGGGGCGGUGUUCCGCCUUUUCUACGGGAGCGGGAUGGUUGUAUCGCUGCUGCUGGCGCCCUGGGCUCGCCAGGCCACGUGCCGGUGUCCAGAGAGGGCCAUGCGUUACACUGGAAUGGGUAUAGAUGUUAGACCUGCGAUGAUUUGCGGGUCCGGAUAUCAACCAUGAAAUCUGUCAACAUCAACUGGUGGAAUUGAAUAUGAAGUUGAAGUAUUGGAUGUCUGUUUUGGGAUCAUGAUUUGAAGAUGAUCGUGAAGUAGCAGAUGAAGGCAAAGUGGAGGCCUAUCUGAACAGAAGUGCCCAAGG